UACGGAGGGUGCGAGCGUUGUUCGGAAUCACUGGGCGUAAAGGGCGUGUAGGCGGUCCGCUAAGUCUGAUGUGAAAGCCCGGGGCUCACCCCCGGAAGUGCAUUGGAAACUGGCGGACUCGAGUCCCGGAGAGGAGAGUGGAAUUCCAGGUGUAGCGGUGAAAUGCGUAGAUAUCUGGAGGAACACCGGUGGCGAAGGCGGCAUCCUGGACCGGCAUUGACGCUGAGGCGCGAAAGCCAGGGGAGCAAACGGG
This 253-nucleotide ribosomal RNA is filed under the name uncultured bacterium. RNAcentral describes it as "partial 16S ribosomal RNA". It matches the Rfam family "Bacterial small subunit ribosomal RNA", at positions 524 to 776 of the family's 1533-position model. The record is from RNAcentral.